Molecule: ribosomal RNA, 443 nt
Filed under: uncultured bacterium
Lineage: Bacteria
Description: partial 16S ribosomal RNA
Rfam family: Bacterial small subunit ribosomal RNA
Source: RNAcentral
CCUACGGGGGGCAGCAGUGGGGAAUAUUGGGCAAUGGAGGAAACUCUGACCCAGCAACGCCGCGUGAAUGAUGAAGGUCUUCGGAUUGUAAAGUUCUUUUCUAAGGGAAGAAGAAAGUAACGUUACCUUAGGAAUAACCCUGGGCUAACUACGUGCCAGCAGCCGCGUGAAUACGUAGGAGGCGAGCGUUAUCCGGAAUGACUGGGCGUAAAGGGUGAGUAGGUGGGUUGGCAAGUUAGUAGCGAAACUCGAAGGCUCAACCGUGGAACUACUACUAAAACUGUUGGACUUGAGUGCAGGAGGGGCAAGCGGAAUUCCUAGUGUAGCGGUGGAAUGCGUAGAUAUUAGGAGGAACACCAGUGGCGAAGGCGGGUUGCUAGACUGUAACUGACACUGAGGCACGAAAGCGUGGGGAGCAAACAGGAUUAGAUACCCGAGUAGUC